This 549-nucleotide ribosomal RNA is filed under the name Triticum aestivum (bread wheat). RNAcentral's name for it is "partial small subunit ribosomal RNA". Lineage: Eukaryota; Viridiplantae; Streptophyta; Magnoliopsida; Poales; Poaceae. The record is from RNAcentral.
AUCUAUACAGAUGAAGAAGCAUACUGGAGGCUCUGCGGUACCCAGCGAUGGGUGCUGCGGGGCGACGCUAAUACGGCAUACUUCCAGGCGAUCGCGAAUGGGCGGCGACGUUGGAACUCCAUCCACUGUUUGUGGGAUGGUGAUUCCCAGCUCGUCCGCCCCUCGGACAUCCGGGCACAUGUAGAUGGCUUCUACAAAGCCCUUUUCUCCCCCGCCCUUCGGGGUGGGGUCGCUCUGGCAACCGACAUCUGGUCGGGCACCCACCUUGUGUCUGAUGCGGACAAUGCCGCCUUAGUUGCCCCGUUCUCCGAGGAGGAGGUCCUCGCGGCGAUUAAGGGCAUGAACGCCUCCUCGGCGCCGGGGCCGGAUGGACUGCCAGUGUCCCUUUUUAAAGCAUUUUGGCAGACCAUCAAACUUGAGGUCAUGGCUCUCUUCGACGAGUUUUUCUUGGGGACCAUGGAUCUUGGGCGCCUGAACUAUGGGGUCGUCACUCUUAUCCCCAAAGUUCCGGGCGCGACGGACAUCCGCCAAUUCCGACCUAUCACCGUG